GACGAACGCUGGCGGCGUGCUUAACACAUGCAAGUCGAACGCUGAAGCUCAGCUUUUGUUGGGUGGAUGAGUGGCGAACGGGUGAGUAACACGUGAGUAACCUGCCCCCUUCUUUGGGAUAACGCCCGGAAACGGGUGCUAAUACUGGAUAUUCACUGGUCUUCGCAUGGGGGUUGGUGGAAAGGGUUUUUCUGGUGGGGGAUGGGCUCGCGGCCUAUCAGCUUGUUGGUGGGGUGAUGGCCUACCAAGGCUUUGACGGGUAGCCGGCCUGAGAGGGUGACCGGUCACAUAGGGACUGAGAUACGGCCCAGACUCCUACGGGAGGCAGCAGUGGGGAAUAUUGCACAAUGGGCGCAAGCCUAAUGCAGCGACGCCGCGUGAGGGAUGGAGGCCGUCGGGUUGUGAACCUCUUUCGCUCAUGGUCAAGCCGCAACAAUGGUUGUGGUGAGGGUAGUGGGUAAAGAAGCGCCGGCUAACUACGUG
Molecule: ribosomal RNA, 483 nt
Filed under: uncultured bacterium
Lineage: Bacteria
Description: partial 16S ribosomal RNA
Rfam family: Bacterial small subunit ribosomal RNA
Source: RNAcentral